This is a non-coding RNA of Callithrix jacchus (white-tufted-ear marmoset), 15307 nucleotides long. The record is from RefSeq and is a predicted model, not a curated record. Lineage: Eukaryota; Metazoa; Chordata; Mammalia; Primates; Cebidae.
CUUCAGGAAGAGGCCCUGUCAUAAUCGCAGUUGUACUACAUAAAAAUAGCUUCGGCUUACAGCGACAUGAGCACAGCCCUUUCCACUGAGGGAAGAGGAAGGCAGUUUCCCCCUACGCAUCCCCCUGGGUCCCUCUUCAAAAGCGGAUCCUCUAGGGCGGGGUCUUCACAGUUCUCAGCAAUAGAUUCACCAGCGGUUUCCUCUCCAGCUUCGGUGCUGAAAGUUUUUUUUUUUUUUUAGAAGAGUCUCGCUCUGUUGCCCAGGUUGGAGUGCAAUGGCCAGUCUCGGCUCACGGCAACCUCUGCCUCCCGGAUUCAAGUGAUUCUCCCGCCUCAGCCUCCAGAGUAGCUGGGAUUACAGGCGCAGGCCACCUCACUGGGCUAAUUUUUUUUUUUUUUAGUCGGGACAGGGUUUCACCAUGUUGGUGAGGCUGGUCUCGAACUUUGACCUCAGGUGAUCCGCCCACCUCUGCCUCCCAAAAUCCUGGGAUUACAGGCGUGAGCUCCCGCUCCCGGCCGCGGAAGGCCUUUUUUUUCCCUGCUUUGCUACCAGCUUCUCACCUUUUCUCAUUUGGCCCUCAUGUCAGAGGCGAGGCAGCUGAGGUUACUGUACCCAUGUGCAGGUGUGGAAACCCAGGCCAGGAGAGGGGAGGUGACUGGCCUGAGGUCACACAGCAAACUCUCGGGAGCCGAGUUGGGGGUCCUGACUCCUUCACGAGUUCCUCCUGCACCAGCAUAGGCCGCCUCCUACGAAAGUGCUGUGGCCACAGCCAGGGCACCAAGAAGGAGAGUGGUGGAGGCUGAGACGUCCGAGGUUGAAGGACUACACCUCGUGAGGUCCUUCUUGCUGGGGGAACUCUGCACAGUCCUGAGGCCCGGCAGGGCAUCACAUGUCAACAGGAAAAAACACCAGGAAGCUAGCUGCAAGACCACCCUGGCAGGGAGGCAGAAGUACAACUUCCAGGAAGUGCCUCUAAAGGGAAGGUAUGCAUCCUAUCCCCCUUCUUGCUUCCCACGGGUGAGAACACAUAUGCAGGGGCUGCAGCUGAAUCGCCUCACGCGCCCAGAAGUCAGUCAAGGGCUAGCUGGGCGAGGUGGCUCACGCCUGUAAUCCCAGCUCUUUGAGAGGCUCAGGCGGGUGGAUCACCUAGGGUUGGGAGUUUGAGACGAGCCUGACCAACACGGAGAAACCCCGUCUCUAUUAAAAAUACAAAAUUAGGGCCGGGCGCAGUGGCUCACACCUAAAAUUCCAGCACUUUGGGAGGCCGAGAUCGGUGGAUCACAAGGUCAAGAGAUAGAGACCAUCCUGGUCAACAAGGUGAAACCCCGUCUCUACUAAAAAUAUGAAAAUUAGCUGGGCAUGGUGGAGUGCGCCUGUAGUCCUAGCUACUUGGGAAGCUGAGGCAGGAGAAUUGCUUGAACCCAGGAGGCGGAGGUUGUGGUGAGCUGAGAUUGUGCCAUUGCACUCCAGUCUGGGUAACAACAGCGAAACUCCAUUUCAAAAAAAAAACAAAAUUAGUGGGAUGUGGUGGUGUAUGUCUAUAAUCCCAGCUACUCAGGAGGCUGAGGCAGGAGAAUCGCUUGCAUCUGGGAAGUGGAGUUUGUCGUGAGCUGAGAUCACACCAUUGCACUCCAGACUGGGCAAUAAGAGGGAAACUCCAUCUCAAAAAAAAAAAAAAAAAAGUCAAGGGCUAAGAUGACAGAAGAGUAAGAGAGAAGGAGGCUGGGUCCCAGAUGACCAUGGAGUGCCAUGAUAGAGAUGGCCUCUAGCACCAGACUUAAUUUAUGCAAGAGAAAUGAAUUUGUGUCUCUGCUGUCUUGGCCUAACUCCCCCAGAGCUGAGGUUUAGCCUCUGAUGAACUCUUCUGACACCAUAGCCUGUUGUCUGUCAUAGUCAAAUCUAAUCUUAAGUAACAUACAAGAUGUAACUCAGCAGUGCCUGUGGCUUCAGUGACCCAGCGUCUGGAUGCCUGUGACUGUCAAUUUUUCCCCCAGCUCAGUUCUAGUAGUUCACCAGACCCCUCCACAUGGCCACUGUCCUCUCCCCAUCCUGCCCCUCCCCAAGGGCUUCCUAUCUCAAGAAAAGGCACCCCCACUCUCCUAGAACUCUGUGAAUCAUCUCUGAAUUCCCUCCCUCCCACUCCAUCUCUCCCACAUCCACAAUGCCCCAAAGUCCCUGAUUCUCCUCCACUCUACUCCUAAUGCCACUGUCACAGCUCAGGCCCUCACCACUCCUCCCCUGGUCCACUGUCACCAUCCGUUAGGACACUACCCUCCCCGCCUCCAGUCUCCACCCCAUGGCCCAUACCUACCCUACCCCUCCCGAAACACCCCCUCUUCCCUUCAUCUCUAAGGCAAAGUCCAAGCAUUCUGGGUGAACAGCAUGCUCCCUGCCUUCCCCCACCUCAUCUGCCAGUCCCCCACCCCUUCCUCAGAGCCAACAGGAGACUAUACAAAGAACUGGCCCGGGGCUCCAGUAACCCGGUAACCCACUAGGACUCUGUUCCCUGUCUCCAAUGUCCUUCCCUGCCACCUCUUUUCUGUAAUCUCUAACUCCUCCUUCAAGGCCCAGGCAAAAACACCUCCUCCAUGAGGCUUUGACUGAUGCCCUCAGCAAACACAGCCCGUUGAUGUCUGCUCGCCCGUGGGUCUAACACAGAGCUGUCCCACUGCAUUUGCUGAGUUGGAGUGUCUGUCUCCCUGACCCGCAGUGAGCAACCUGAGGAAAAAUCCCAUUUUAUUGUACUUGGAAUCCAUGGCACCUAAUGUAAUGUUGGCAUGGAGUAGGUGCCCAAUGCACGGUAUGAAUGACCCAUUUACUAAGCCCUUGCUAUGCGGCAGUAAAGCAUUAGCUUUAUCUAAAUUAUCUCAUUUCAUCCUCAGAAUCUCCUUGACAGGGUGAUUGUCUCCCCUAAGAGAUGAGACUGCAAUUCCCAGAGGCUGAGCAGCCACGCCAGGUGCUACAGCUUAUGCCCGGCAAUGUCAGAGACAGAGUCUCCAUCUGCCACACCAGUCUCUCCCUUGGGAUCUUGCCUCACCCUGCUGCCAACCCCAGGCAGGUCUUCAGGGAAACAAUGACCCCCAGAACUGAGUGUAGAAAAAGCUCCUUAUCUGCCAGGUGUGGCACUUUGGGAAGCCAAGGCGGAUGGACCACCUGAGGUCAGGAGUUCGAGACCAACCUGGCCAACAUGGUGAAACUGAAACCCCAUCUCUACAAAAAAUACGUGGAGUCAGAUGUUGAAGGAAAAACAAAAAUAGAAAAUAAAACAACAACAACAACAAAAUUAGCCGGCCGUGGUGGUAGGUGCCUGUAUUCCCAGCUACUCGGAGGACUGAGGCAGGAGAAUCCCUUGAAUCCGGGAGGCGGAGCUUGCAGUGAGCUGAGAUCGAGCCACUGCACUCCAGCCUGGGUGACAGAGCCAGACUCCAUCUCAAAAAAGAGAAAAAAAGAAAAGAAAAGAAAAAGCUCUUUAUCCUUUUAUUCCGUUGAGAUUUCCUAAAAAGAAAGUCUUGACGGGAAACUAAGGGAAAGUUACACACACACACACACACACACACACACAUAUAUUUUUAACAAAACAGAUGGGCAAGUUCAGGUCCCCUCUGAGCUUUUUUUCUUUUUUUUUUUUUUCUUUUUUGAGAUGGAGUCUCACUCUGUCACCCAGGCUGGAGUGCAGUGGCACAGUCUCAGCUGACUGUAACCUCUGCCUCCCAGGUUCAAACAAUCCUCCCACCUCAGCCUAUGGAAUAGCUGGGACUAUAGACACGCACCACCAUGUCCUGCUAAUUUUUCUAUUUUUUUGUAGAGAUAGGGUUUCACCAUGUUUCUCAGGCUGGUCUCAAGCCUUGAGGAUUGGCCUCAAGACAUCCGCCUGCCUCCACCUCCCAAAGUGCCAGGAUUACAGAUAUGAGCCACCACCUCGCCCACCCCCUCUGAGCAGUUGCUUCCUUCUCUCUGAAACCACCAGGUGACACUAGAUAGCUCCAAGAUCCUUAUCAGCCCUAAUAUCCUGUGAUUCCAUGAAUGGGAUAGUUUCUCAGAAGGUGGACUGACCAGUUGUGAUGGGGAGGGCAGUCCCCUAGGGACACAAGCUUCAGGGGGAGGAAGGCUGGGUGGUGUUGCAGGCUGACCAGCCCCACCCACCCUGCUCUUUAGGACUCCACAUUAGAGGUGCAAAGAAGAAAGGGGCCCGAGGGCGGUGGAUCCCACCUGCAAUCCCAGCACUUUUGGGAGGCCGAAGUGGUAGGUUACGAGUUCAAAACCAGCCUGGCCAACAUGGCAAAACCCUGUCUCUACUGAAAAUACAAAAAUUGGCUGGGCAUGGUGGCGGGUGCCUGUAGUCCCAGCUACUUGGGAGGCUGAGGCAGGAGAAUCGCGUGAGCCUGGGAGACAGAGGCUGCAGUGAACUAAGAUUGCACCAUUGCACUCCAGUCUGGGCAACAAGAGUGAAACUCCAUCUCCAAAAAAAAAAAAGGGAGAAUGGGACUACUUGCAGUGAACUAAGAUUGCACCAUUGCACUCCAGUCUGGGCAACAAGAGUGAAACUCCAUCUCCAAAAAAAAAAAAGGGAGAAUGGGACUACUUGCAGUGAACUAAGAUUGCACCAUUGCACUCCAGUCUGGGCAACAAGAGUGAAACUCCAUCUCCAAAAAAAAAAAAGGGAGAAUGGGACUACUUGCUUAAUAGCCUUUUGGACCCUCUGAUAGUCCUGCCCAGUCUGAGUCUGAGUCUGAAGUCAGAGAGGCCUACGGCUUGGAGCUCAGACCUGCACAGUUCCUGCUGGGUGUUGAAAGGUCCUGUCUCCUCCUUGGGCCCCAUGUAGCCAUCUUCCCUUCUGUGGGCCACCCUCUCUGGUCCCAGUCUCUGCCUGGCCCCUCCUCCCAUAAAAUUAUGACAGCAGAGAGCAGAGGCCUUGUGGGCAAGUUCCUGUGGAGGCUCAAACUCAGCUGUCACCCUUGGAGCCACAGUCAUUUCCCCUCCCCCGCCUGCCCAGCUGGGAGGCUGAGAAGUUUCAUCACAGCUGAGCUGUUGUCCUUAUAAGGGAAAGUCCUCCCAAGCCUCUCUCUUGGGUCAUAGCCAGCUGGUGGAGAACCUGGCCAGGCCUUGGAGUAUCCUCCUGGUGCCAGGAAAGGUGGGGGUCCCUCAAGGACUCUGGGCUGAGCCUCCUUCUGAAAUCACAGGCUCUCCAGACAAAUAGCAGAAAGCAGUCAGUUGUGGCCCCAGCCCAAAAGCCCAGAAGGGUCAAAUCCCAGGUCCUGACACUAACUUUGGUCCCCUAGGUAAGUUGCUUAAGCCUUAGUUUCUUAACCUGUAAAAUGGAGUGAAAUUACAUCUUCCUUGUGAGGCCACUGUGGUGACUGUCAGAGGAUAACAGGCCUGGCAAACAGUAGGUGCUCUGUGAGGCCAGGCUGCUGGGGUUUAUUAAGAAUUUUCUUUUCUUUUCCUUUUUUUUUGAGACAGAAAUUCACUCUUGUUGCCCAGGCUGGGGUGCAAUGGCACAAUCUCGGCUCACCACAGCCUCCACCUCCCAGGUUCGAGCAAUUCUCCUGACAGCCUCCUGAGUAGCUGGGUUUACAGGCAUGCACCACCACGUCCUGCUAAUUUUGUAUUUUUAGUAGAGACGGGGUUUUUCCGUGUUGGCCAGGCUGGUCUCAAAUUCCCGAUUUCAGAUGAUCUACCAACCUCCGCCUCCCAAAGUGCUGGGAUUACAGGCGUGAGCCACCGCACCCAGCCUAUUAAGCAUUUUCUAUGAGGCAGACAACCGGCUCAGUAGUACUCCAUGGCAACCCUGUGAAGGAAGGAAAAUCAGUCCAUUUUACAGACAAGGAAAACCAAGGCAUGGUUUGUCUGAGGUCACCCCUGGGGUUUGUUGUUUGCUGUUUUGUUUUGUUUUGUUUUGAGACAGUCUCGCUCUGUCACCCAGGCUAGAGUGCAGUGGUGCGAUCUCGGCUCACUGCAACCUCUGCCUUCCAGGUUCAAGUGACUCUUCUGCCUCAGCCUCCCGAGUAGCUGGGACUACAGGCGCCUGCCACCACACCCAGCUAAUUUUUGUUUUUUAUUUUUUUUGAGACGGAGUUUUCGCUCUUGUUACCUAGGCUGGAGUGCAAUGGCGCGAUCUCGGCUCACCACAACCUCUGCCUCCUGGGUUCAGGCAAUUCUCCUGCCUCAGCCUCUUGAGUAGCUGGGAUUACAGGCACGCGCCACCAUGCCCAGCUAAUUUUUUGUAUUUUUAGUAGAGAUGGGGUUUCACUGUGUUGACCAGGAUGGUCUCGAUCUCUUUACCUCGUGAUCUACCCACCUCGGCCUCCCAAAGUGCUGGGAUGACAGGCUUGAGCCCCCGUGCCCGGCCUUAUUUUUGUUUUUUAACAGAGUUUUGCUCUUGUUGCCCAGGCUAGAGUGCGAUGGCGCAAUCUUGGCUCACUGCAAUCUUCUUCAAGUGAUUCUCCUGCCCUGGUCUCCCGAGUAGCUGGGUUACAGGCAUGCGCCACCAGGCCCAGCUGAUUUUUGUAUUUUUAGUAGAGACAGGGUUUCUCCAUGUUGGCCAGGCUGGUCUCAAACUCCUGACCUCAGGUGAUCCUCCCGCCUCGGCUUUCCAAAGUGCUGGGAUUACAGGUGAGAGCCACUGCACCUGGCUACCCCUGGGGUUUGAAUCCACACGUGUCUGCCUCCAAACCUGAAGUCAUGCUUCGUAUACUUACAUCCUGAUGUUUCCUCUAGGAAUUCUAUUAAAUUAUGACAACAUGGUGGAAUUUCCAUCAUCACCUUUCCACCCUUCACGUUCCAUCACAGAGCCUCCUCACUCAUAGAAACCUCUGUGGAGUGAGUUUGUGCGGUCUUUUCUGACAGCCCUUUUGUCUGGGACAUGAGGGUGGGGUGGGGAGUCAGGAAGACAAGACCUGGUGAAGGGCACAAAACACAAUGACUCCUAAGACGGGAUGCCGAUAGGGCCUAGGCAGGGGUAGAGGGAGGGGCAACCUGGUUUCCCCUCCCCCUGUCCUGGGUCCUGUCUGAUGAUAGCCACCUUGUGAUUUGUGAAACCCUGUACUGGGCCGGGCAAAGCGGCUCACACCUGUAAUCCCAACACUUUGGGAGGCCAAGGCAAGUGAAUCACUUGUGGUCAGGAGUUCAAGACCAGCCUGGCCAACAUGGUGAAACUCCAUUUCUACUAAAAAUGCAAAAAUUAGCCAGGUGUGUUGGUGCAUGCCUGUAAUCCCAGCUACUUAGAGGCUGAGCCAGGAGAAUCACUUGAACCCAGGGGCAGGGAUUGCCAUGAGCUGAGAUCGAGCUAUUACACUCUAGCCUGGGUUAAAAAAAAAAAAAAAUUCCAGCCAGACCCAGUGGCUCACACCUGUAAUCUCAGCACUUUGGGAGGCCAAAGGGGGUACAUGACAAGGUCAGGAGAUCAAGAUCAUCCUGGCCCACAUGUUGAAACACCGUCUCUAUUAAAAUACAAAAAAUUAGCAUACAGGUGGUAUGCUCCUGUAGUCCCAGCAACUCAGGAGGCUGAGGCAGGGGAUUUGCCUGAACCUGGGAGGUGGAGGUUUGCAGUGAGCCAAGAUUGUGCCACUGCACUCCAGCCUGGCAACAGAGUGAGAGACUCCACCUCAAAAAUAAAAAAAAAAAAUCCCAGCCAGGCGCCAUGACUCAUGCCUGUAAUCCCAGCACUUUGGGAGGCUGAGGCAAGUGGAUCACCUGAUGUCAGUAGUUUGAGACCAACCUGGCCAACAUGGUGAAACCCUGUCUCUACUAAAAAAAGAAAAAUCAGCCAGAAGCCAGGUGUGGUGGUGGGUACCUGUAAUCCCAGCUACUCGGGAGGCUGAGGCAGGAGAAUUGCUUGAACCCAGGAUGUGGAGGUUCCAGUGAGCUGAGAUUGUGCCACUGCACUCCAGCCUGAAUGACAGAGUGAGAUUUCAUCUCAAAAAAAAAAAAAAAAAAAUCCCACACCGUAAUGACCCACAGGACUUAAGGUCACUGACAUAUGGAAGCCUGUGUUCAAAGGAGGGCUCCCCUUCUCUGCACAGGCCUUCAGCCCCAAGACCAGAGGGAAAGGCACUUUUUUUUUGAGAUGGUGUCUCACUCUGUCACCAGGCUAGAAUGCAAUGGCACAAUCUUGAUUCACUGCAACCUCUGCCUCCCGGGUUCAAGCGAUUCUCCUGCCUCAACCUCCUGAGUAGCUGGGACUACAGGUAUGUGCCACCAUGCCCAGCUAAUUUUUAUAUUUUAAGUAGAGACAGGGUUUCACUAUGUUGGCCAGGAUGGUGUGGAUCUCUUGACUUCGUGAUCCACCCGCCUUGGCCUCCCAAAGUGUGGGGAUUAUAGGCAUGAGUCACCAAUCCCGGCCGGAAAGGCACUUUACUACCGCCUUCCCCAUGGCUGGUCACCACCAUCCCAGCAGCCGCUCCCUUCAAAGUGCCUUCCAGAGGGGACUCUGCCAUCAAAAGAGACUCCUCUAUGAUGAAGGGGCCUGGGAGAAUGGCGUGAUUCACCUGAGGUCCCUCAGCUUCUGCGGGCCACUCACUCGGUAUGGCUGUCACACGCCAGGCCAGUGGCAGGGGAAUUCAGGAGCGACACGAGGGUCAUUGCCACAGUUGACAGGCCCCGGUUCAGGUGUUUCCUGUUGUGUUGGCCCCGGGGUCUGUCCAUGGUUCUCACAGAGGAGGAGGAAGGGAGACAGCCUUUGGUAAGCAUAGUGGUGCUUUCCCUCAUGGCGGGUGGCGGGGAAGCGGAGAGCCUGACUAUAAUCUCCUUUUGUGGGUGAGGAAACUGAGGCAUCCUGAAACUGAGACUCAACCAAGGUCCCUGGGUGAGAUGUGGUGGACCUUGGUAGCCUGAUUUGGAGCUGUCCACUGGCCUAGGGCCUUCCCAAGAGUUCUCAGGGAAGCCCUGGAAUUCUGCUGAAUUUUUGUUAGUGUCAGGAGGUCAGGGGCCUCAAACAGGACCCAGGCUCACUCUUUACCAGGCUCUGGUGGUAAAAUAACAGCUGGGAAUCAUCCUUUUGGAACCUUUUUAUUUUUUUGAGAUAGAGUCUCACUUUGUCACCAGGCUGGAGUGCAGUGGCACAAUCUCGGGCUCACUGCAUCCUCCACCUCCCUGGUUCGAGCGAGUCUCCUGCCUCUGCCUCCUGAGUAGCUGGGAUUACAGGUGUGUGCCACCAUGCCUGGCUAAUUUCUUGUAUUUUUAGUACAGAUGGGGUUCACCAUGUUGGUCAUGCUGGUCUCAAACUCCUGACUUCGUGAUCCACCUGCCUCAGCCUCCCAAAGUGCUGGGAUAACAGGAAUGAGCCACUAUGCCUGGGCCUUUUGGAACCAUUAUAGGAAGCACCUGUUCAGCAAGAAUCAUCAAUGGAUACUAAAUCUGGGGCAAUUUGUGGUGAGGUGCAACACAUUUAGAUGAUCUUAAAUUGUCUCCCAGUUAAUUAGUUGCAAGAGAAAAAAGCAAAAACAUUAACAGUAAAAAAAUCAGACACCUGGCCCCAGUAAUCAAAAUGAACAUCACCAAUGAGGGCCAGAUGCAUGUAUUUCCUCCCAGAAGUGAUACCUUGAGAAGGACCCAAAGCCUGUGCAGUUUUCCAGCUGAGAAUCCAUAACCUCAGUCUAAGCAGGCAGAAACCUCAGACAAACCCCAAACAAGGAAUCAGAAAGGGGAGGACUGUAUUCUUCAAAAAUGUCAAUGUCCUCAGGGACAAAGAAAGGCUGUGGAAAUGUUUCAGAUUGAAGGAGGAAACAAAAGAGAGAUGACAAUUGUAUGCCUGACAUGACCCUAACCAGAGGAAAAAUAUAAUAAAGGAUAUUAUUGGGUCAAAUGACAAAAUGGGAAUAUGAACAGCAAGCCAAAUUUACUGAUAACUGUACUACAGUUACAUGAGAGAAUAUACUGAUUUUUAGGAAAUACACAGUAAAGUAUCAAAUACUUAGGGAUAGAGAGCCAUGAUAAGCCAGGUGCUGUGGCUCACGCCUGUAAUCCGAGCACUUUGGGAGGUUAAGGCAGGUGGAUCACGAGGUCAGGGGUUUGAGACCAGCCUGGCCAACAUGGUGAAACCUCAUCUCUACUAAAAAUACAGAAAUUAGGUGGACUUGCUGAUGGGUGCCUGUAAUCCCAACUACUUGGGAGACUGAGGCAGGAGAAUUGCUUGAACCUGGGAGGCAGAGGUCACAGUGAGCCAAGAUGGUGCCAUUGCACUCCAGCCUUAGCAAUAGAAUGAGACUCCAACUCAGAAAAAUAAAAAAAGCUAUGAUAACCAACUAUCCAAUGAUUCAGAAAAAAAUUAUGUGUAUACGUGAAAAAAAGAAAGUGCUCAAAAGAGAAAACAGGUCAAUCUUGCUAGAGUAAAUGUAUGUUUUUUGUACUAUUCUUUUUUUUUUUUUUUUGACACAGAAUUUCACUCUAUUGCCCAGGCUAGAGUGCAGUGGUGUGAUCUCAGCUCACUGCAACCUCCACCUCCCAGGUUCAAGCGAUUCUCAUGUCUCAGCUUCCCAAGUAGCUGGGAUUACAGGCAUGUGCCACCAUGCCUGGCUAAUUUUUGUAUUUUUAGUAGAGAUGGGGUUUCACCAUGUUGGCCAGGCUCGUCUUGGAAGUUCUGACCUCAGGUGAUCUGCCCUCCUUGGCCUCUCAAAGUGCUGGGAUUACAGGCAUGAGCCACCAUGCCCCGCCCUUUGUAUUCUUCCUAUUCCUGCAAUUUUUCUCUAAGUUUAAAAGUAUUUCCAGCCAAGUGCAAUGGGAAAAAAGGGUAUUUUUUUUCGAGAUAGAAUAUCACUGUUGCCAGGCUGGAGUGCAGUGGUGAGAUCUUGGCUUACUGCAACCUCUGCCUCCUGGGUUCAAGCAAUUCUGCCUCGGCCUCCCAAGUAACUAGGAUUAUAGGCACGUGCCACUAAACCCAGCUAAUUUUUGUAUUUUUAGUAGAGACGGGGUUUCACCAUGUUGGCCAGGAUGGUUUCCAUCUUUUGAUCUCGUGAUCCGCCUGUCUCAGCCUCCCAAACUGCUGGGAUUACAGGUGUGAGCCAAUGAAAAAAAUAUUUCCAAAAUGAAAAGUUUGUUUGUUUGUUUUUUGACAUGGAGUUUCACUCUUGUUGUUCAGGCUGGGGUGCAAUGGCACAAUCUCGGCUCAUUAUAACCUCUGCCUCUGGGUUUAAGCAAUUCUCCUGCGUCGGCCUCCUGAGUAGCUGGGAUUACAGCCAAAGAAUUCUCUGUUUUGGAAUCACAGGCCAGGAAAGUCACAGCCAGGGUCCUCUUGGAGCCCCAGACUGGUUUCUUCCAGCUGGAUCCCCACAGCCAGUUCACCAGUCGGAGACAGGACCAGGACUCCAAUAGAGUUCUCCCAGUUCGUCUCAAGCUCGCUCACUUCUGCUUGCCCUUCCUGGAGACCUCUGUUCCGCCUGCCAGCUUCUCUCCAGCCUUUGCUGUCCAGCUGCUCAGCAGCCUGUGCCCACUCUCCUCAUGUCAUGAGAUGUGGUCCCAGACCACAGCUGACUGCCAGAGAACAGCUGCACUACCAGGCCUCCGCUAACUGAACCACCACUGGCCCAAAUACACCCUCCUCUGCCUGGGAGCACAAAGUCCAUCCACCUCCAACAUUGAGCUCGAAACAGCUGCCUGUCCUGGGUCUCCUCUCCACCCCACCCAAGACGCUGAAUCAUCCCAGUUCUUCUGCAGCCCAGAAAAACGGAUAAACCAGCAGGCAAUGGGUGAGGGAAGCAUCUUUGGAAUGUCAGCCUCUCUGAUGGCAAAGAAACAGCCAAGAGCCAUUCGCAUUCGCCUAGUUCCCUACGUCAGAAAGAGGAAUUGAACUAAUAAGCAUUUCUCAAUUCCUACUCCCAGGCCAAGCUCCCCCACCCCCAAGUGCUAAGUUCUUGAAACUGCAUUUACAUUUUUAAUAGCAUCUUUUUUUAAAAAGGAAAAAAAGCGUGAUUUGGAUUUUUCAUGUUUGGGAGAUGUAAAAUCCUUCCUGCUUCCCAGCUGUGGCCAGAUGUGGAGAGGCAGUUUAGGACAAGUCUGACAGUACCUGACAGGCUGAGAGUGAAAGCCUGUCACUUAACUCAUGGCAGCUGGCACCGGAAGAAGCUGUGACAACCUCCUUUAUUGGUAAAAAUAUCCCCCUGCCACCUCAUUCCCAACUGUGGCACAUCCUAUUUUGGUGGGGGCAGCAGUAGAGAACAUCUGCGGACGCUGUCUACACACUCUCAUUCCCUUGCCCUCCUCCACUGCUUCUCUGACACCCUAACUCCACGAGCCAGUGACUCAGGCAGGUCAGGCUAGGUGCUUCUCCAAGGCAGCUCCUUUAAACACUUAGAUCCAGGUUGCCCAAUCUUGACCUGGGACAAUUGUGAAUUUGCCAAGAUAUCCUGAGGCAGACUGGGAGAGGCUGAUGAGGAAGAGGCAGGCUCCCCCUUCUUAUGCCCCCAGGUCAAUUCCUCCCCAGGUAUUCAUCUGUCAAAGGCAUUUUCAGUGGAUGGACUGUUUUCAGUGGAUGGAUGGGCCCUCUGACAGCCUCAACCACAGCACACAAAUGGCAUCGACAAGGAAAAAACCCUCUUCUUCCUCAAGUCUUCACCUAUAUCUUUACUUUUAUUUAACACACAAGCUUAGCAUCCUUGGUUGUCCAAAUCCCAUGCCUGCUGAAAUCAGAAGAGGAACAAGCAUCUGAAGUGGGAAGAUGUGAGGACUAUUAGAGGCACAAGGACAGCAGAAGUGGAAACCAGGCCUGGUUCAGUGGCUCACGCCUUAAUCCCAGCCCUUUGGGAAGCCAACACAGGUGGAUCAUAAGGUCAGGAGAUAGAGACCAUCAUGGCUAACACAGUGAAACCCCAUCUCUACUAAAAAUACAAAAAAAUUAGCCAAGCAUGGUGGCACAUGCCUAUAGUCCCAGCUGCUAGGGAGACUUGGGCAGAAGAAUCGCUUGAACCCAGGAGAAAGAGGUUUCAGUGAGCUGAGAUCAUGCUACUGCACUCCAGCCUGGGCAACACAGCGAGACUCCGUCUAGAAAAAAAAAAAAAGGCCGGGCGCAGUGGCUCACGCCUAUAAUCCCAGCACUUUGGGAGGCCAAGGCAGGUGGAUCACGAGGUCAAGAGAUCAAGACCAUCCUGGUCAACGAGGUGAAACCCCAUCUCUACUAAAAAUACAAAAAUUAGCUGGGCAUGGUGGUGCACGCCUUUAGUCCCAGCUAAUCGGGAAGCUGAGGCAGGAGAAUUGCCUGAACCCAGGAGGUUGCAGUGAGCCGAGAUCGUGCCAUUGCACUCCAGUCUGGGUAACAACAGUGAAACUCCGUCUCAAAAAAAAAAAAAAGGCCCAGCGCGGUGGCUCACGCCUGUAAUCCUAGCACUUUGGGAGGCUGAGGUAGGUGGAUCACCUGAGGUCAGGAGUUCAAGACCAGCCUGGCCAUCAUGGUGAAACCCCAACUUAAAAAAAAAAAAAAAAAAGAAGUGGUAACCAACAGCUCGAUGUUAAAGGAGAAGGAAAGGCUGAGAAGUACAGCCUGCCAGCUCAAAACAGAGAGGCAAUCUUCCUCUGCCCCUGUGCUUCUGGAGAACCCACUCUGCAGAUGGGUCUGACAGGUGACACUGAGCCACCAGGGAAAGAUGUUACUUAGGCCAGCAUCUUCUGUCGAAGAAAGCAGAGAAUAUUUAACGUAUUUUAGAGAUUUUCUAGCAAAAAUAAGUUUUGGAGUUACUCGCUGGUGUCUCUUGGUGGAAAGCACACUGAACUGGAUUCUAGACCUAACUCCCCCAGUCACUGAGAGAUGCUGAACAGUCAUCUUGUCACCCUGAGCCUCAGUAUCCUCUGCUGUAAAAUGUAACAUGAUGACCACUCUCAUGGGACUCUUGUGAUUGUCACAGGAAGAUAUGUAAGAGCACAUCACCAAACAAGUACGAGUGCUAAUUAGUAUUUCUUUCUUCUUUUUAUUUUUUUUUGAGACAGAGUUUCACUCUUGUUGCCCAGGAUAGAGUGGAAUGGUGCGAUCUUGGCUCACUGCAAUCUCUGCCUCCCAGGUUCAAGUGAUUCUCCUGCCUCAGCCUCCCAAGUAGCUAGGAUUACAGGUGCCCGCCACCAAGCCUGAAUAAUUUUGUAUUUUUAGUAGAGACAGCAUUUCUCCAUGCUGGUCAGGCUGGUCUCGAAUUCUUAGCCUCAAGUGAUCUGCCCGCCUCGGUCUCCCAAAGUGCUGAGAUUUCAGGCAUGAGCCACCGAGCAUGGCCUACUAAUGAUUAUUUCUACUACCACUGCUGAAUGGAGCAGGCUUCAGUUUUCUACAUUCACUCAUAUGGAACCUUGCCCAGGGACAGGAAAAGACUUGCACACUAGGUGCACAUACAGUUCAAAGAGCUCUUGGCUGGGCGUGGUGGCUCACGCCUAUAAUCCCAGCACUUUGGGAGGCCAAGGUGGGUCGAUCACCUGAGGUCAGGAGUUCGAGACUAGCCUGACCAACCUGGUGAGACCCUGUCUUUACUAAAAUUACAAAAUUAGCUGGGUGUGGUGGCUGAUGCACAUGAGGCAGGAGAAUCUCUUGAACCUGGGAGGCGGGGAUUGCAGUGAGCUGAGAUUGUGCUAUUGCACUCUAGCCUGAGAAACAAGAGCAAAACUCCAUUUCUUUUUUUUUUUUUUUUUUUUGAGACGGAGUUUCGCCCAGCCUCCUGAGUAGCUGGGAUUACAGGCACACAACACCAUGCCCAGCUAAUUUUUUGUAUUUUUAGUAGAGACAGGUUUUCACCAUGUUGACCAGGAUGGUCUUGAUCUCUUGACCUCAUGAUCCACCCGCCUCGGCUUCCCAAAGUGCUGGGAUUACAGGCGUGAGCCACCGUGCCCGGCCCAAAACUCCACUUCCAAAAAAAAAGUCCAGGCACAGUGCUUCACACCUGUAAUCCCAGGACUUCGUGAGAACGAGAGGGAUGGAUCAUGAGGUCAGGAGAUUGAGACCAUCCUGGCCAACAUGGUAUCUACUAAAAUAAAAAUGAGCCAGGCAUGGUGGCAUGCACCUGUACUCAGAAGGCUGAGUGAGGCAGGGGAAUCGCUUGAACCCAGGAGGUGGAGGUUGAAGCGAGAUUCUGCCACUGAAAUCCAGCAUGGUGAAAGAGCAAGACUAGGUCUCAAAAAAAAAAAAAGAAUUAUCAUCCAGAAACCCUAGAUUUGCCCCUGGAGGUAUUGUCACCAUAUAGAGACCCAGAGAGGAUUAGGUAAUCGCUCAAGGUUGCACAGCAUGGCAAAAGUGAAGCAGGUCUUCUGGCCCCAGAUCCAGGGUCCUCCUACUAGCUUGAGAUGCCUUUACUUUGCCCUGUCCCAGAACCCCCAACCUCAGGGCCAAGCAGGUCCUCACCUCAUU